UGCUUUGUAAAAUUUGUAAACCCUCAAGG
This 29-nucleotide non-coding RNA is filed under the name Mus musculus (house mouse). Lineage: Eukaryota; Metazoa; Chordata; Mammalia; Rodentia; Muridae. The record is from RNAcentral.